Molecule: long non-coding RNA, 3227 nt
Filed under: Homo sapiens (human)
Lineage: Eukaryota; Metazoa; Chordata; Mammalia; Primates; Hominidae
Description: HSALNT0269596
Source: RNAcentral
CAAGGAGAUCGGGUUUCGCUCCGAGACCGCGGUCGGAGGCAGGCAGACGGUCUGACGUCAGCGCUAGACGGGGCUGCCGGUUCCCACCGCGCGGGGGCCGGGGAGGGGGCGCGCGCUGCGCCAAUCCCCGCCGAGGUUCCCCCGCACCCCCUCCCCGAGCCGGGGGGCGGGGUGACGGGAAACGGGGCGGGCUCUUAAAGGGCCAGAGCUAGGCGGCCCACGUAGACCCGGCACCCGCGCAACGGAGGAGGGGCGCUGUGCCCUCUCCCCAACGGCGGUCAGCUUGGAACGCCUGCCCGGCGCACGCCCGGGGCCGGGGAGCCGAACUCGGUGCCAGCCGCACCCGGGCGGGUUGCUGGUGCGCCCUCCCCUCGCCCCCGUCCCUGGGGUCCUUGACCCAGGCUCUUGGGGCUAGCCUAUCUUCUGAGGAGCACAAGGUCCCUGGGGGCUCAGGGAAGAGAAAUUGGAGAAAGGGGGAGGAAGCCCCCAAGAUGGAUCACCCAUUGCCUGGUUUCGCAGGAGACUGUCCGCCUUCAGUUCUCCAGCAGCUCGGGGAUCAUGGCCCACUGAACCCCCAAGCGCUUUCACCCGAACCCAAGGAGGACGACCAGGAAAGACGGGAACUCGCGUAGACACGCCCGGAAGCCCUUGUCAUGCACUUAAGGAGCACCUACCUGUGCCAGAAACUCUCCAAAUAUUAACUCAACCUGACACCGACUCAGUGUGGCCGAAUAUUACUCUCCCCAUUUUACAGAGCGGGCAGCUGGUCAAGGAAGUCGCUUGUUGAAAGUCACACAGUGGUGGAGCCUGUGUGCCAACCCAGGACCCUGGGGAGCUGCCUCCCCCUCUCCCACGUAGUCCUGAUUCUUUAAGUGUCCACAUAUUCCUGUAAUGCCUGGAGUUUCAGUAAUUAGCAGGGACUUAGUGUGUUCAGAGAAAAAAAAAGCUUUUAAAAAUUAUUGUUACUGUGUUUGUAACAGUUUGGAUAGAGAAGGAAAAGCUGGAAUUUGGGAAGUGAAGGUGGCCUCGGGGUAGAACUUACCUAGACCAGAGCGAAUUCAUCCUGAAGAACUCAGAGAAAGCCGGUGCAGGAAGUGGGUUCCCGCUCUCCCUGCACAGGCACAGUGAUGCUGCCAGAGCUCUCCCAGAAAGACCAGGAGGCUUGUUCUGGAGAAGUCAAGCCCAGGGAUGUGGCUCAGGCUGGUCCAAGCUCUUUGGAGGAGUCCAAGCGUGCCCAGCCCAGAGGGAGGUUCAGAGGCACUGACCGUCUUCUGUUUGGGAGGAGAAGCUCACUCUUGGAGCCACAGCCAGCACUAGGUCAGGACCCAGGCCCCGGCCCAGGAGUGGGGCAAUACCCAGCGUCUACCCCAGAUGGCACCCUGCUGUGAACUGGGCGCCCUCAGCCCCUGCCUUGAGGAAGGGGCAAUACCACCAGCGUGUCUUUUAUCAGGGAAGAUAUUGCUGCAGUUUGGCCGCUGCAACUUAAGAGAAAAGCUAAGGGGUCCCCCAGCAUCCCUUGGGGUGCCACUGCAAAUACUGGCUGGGCCUGGAGAUGACCUGGGUCCCAUUCACUUCCUAGGGUGAAGGAGGUCAUCAUUACCACCCCUGCUUUCAGCCAUUUCUUCAUUCAUUCAAUCAACAAACUGGCUGAGCUGCAACCCUGAGCCGGGGAAUUCAGCCACUCCAGACACAGCCCCUGCCCUCCGGGAAGUCUCGGGAGACCUGGCUAGUCUGGCUGGGAGAAGUCACACGUUGAUUGUCUUGGAAGUGAGAUGGCAUUUACACAAUGGAGGCUGCACUGCCAGCAGGCAAAAAUAACCAGUUAAUUCAGUGGCUUAAAGAAACCAAACCUACCCACAACGCUUGACCUCCCAUUGAUCCAUCUGCGACACCGGCAGUGGCUACCAUUUAUUGAGUGCUGAUGGUGUCACCUGGGAUUGACUUAGUGGUCUCUGGCGCUAGUUCCGAAGUUGAUUCUGUCUGGAGAGCUUAAUGCAGUGUUCAGACCUCAGGGUCCGAACCUGAGGGUCACCCAAAGAUGAGUGGGACAUAGCUGUGUGACCUCGGCUGAGUGCUUUCACCUCUCCAACCUCAGUUUCCUCUUCUGCAAAAUGGGGUGGCUUCAUGGCACCUUCACGUGGUGUGAUUGCGAGGAAUGAAGGGAUCGAUGCCUUGCAAGUAGAGGAGAAGGGGCCGGAUACAUCUUAGUUGUUAUGUUAUUUAAUCAUCUUGGCAACCCCGGGAGGGAGGAACCACUAUCAUUUUAUUUUCCAUUUUGCAGUUGAGGACAAUGAUGAUUCCAGCACAGACAGGGCCCCUGACGGGGCAGUAGGAAAGGAGAAUUGCUUUGGAAGGAGCAUAGGCUGGACUGCCAGCACUCAUAGGAGGCUUCGUGUGUGCCCAGGACUGCGAGAAUUAAAUACAGGACACCCAGUUCAGUUUGAAUUUCAGAUAAACUAUGAAUAAUGAUUAGUUGUCUGGUCUAGGGACAAAUGCUGAGACGUCUGCAAGGCCAUCUAGAACGCCAGGAAGGCACUGUGGGAACCCAGAGGAACAGGGCACGACGGUGCCCAACAGUCCCAGGAAAACACUCUGUGCCCUUCACCUACAUCUCCAUGCCAGGGUUGGAGACAGGGUCCUGUCCCAUCUGCACAUGGAGCCCUCCGGACGGGUGAAUCUGUCGUCAGUUUGGGGCUUGGGAAUCGGUGUCCAAGAGCUGGCUUCAAAGGCAAUGAAACUGGCAUUGCAUCUUUGAAGGCAGCACAGGCUACAUCUGUCUUAUUCUCCGUGUCCACAGCCCCUAGCAGUGACUGGCAUGUGGUCACGCCCAAUAAAUAUUUGCUGAAUGAAUGAACGCAAAACAAUUUGCAAUGUGGACUAGUCCCUUAAAGUAUGUGUAUCUGCAACCGGUAAGUCUACCACAUAUCUUAAGGAAAUAAUCAGAGAAGUGAACAGUUUUAAGGAGAAGAACGUUGAUCCUAUCUUCAUUCGUAAAAGCAAAAGUGCAAUGAAAUUAAAAACAAAUAGAAGAUGCGUAAAUAAAAGGCAGUGAUCAUAAAACUGUUCAAAACCUUGUUUUCAAAAAUUAUCUGAUGAUAUAAAGUCCCAUAUAAACUAAAUUUAAAAAUAGGCUGCAGAACCGAUCUCAACUUUUUACAAAAAUAUUAUUAGAAAAAGGAUUAAAAUGAUAUUUGCCAAAAUAUUAACAGUGGUCAGCUUUGUGCAAU